RNAcentral lists this long non-coding RNA (865 nucleotides) under Homo sapiens (human). RNAcentral describes it as "HSALNT0296291". Lineage: Eukaryota; Metazoa; Chordata; Mammalia; Primates; Hominidae. The record is from RNAcentral.
CCUUGGUUUCCAUAACUACAUACCAACAACAAUAAAUACCACACAGUGGGUGUCACAGAAGUAGAGUUGUUGUGUGUAAAGCAACUAACACAGUCCUGGCACUCAGGCGGCUCUUAAUAGAUGGUAUGAAAAGGGUGUCUUUUCCCUCUGCCUCACCCCUCUCAAUAGUACAAAUAAAACCCCCCACAAGAUUAAAGAAGAGAGUUAAAGCAAGAAUCCUCAUGACAAGGGGUGGCUACUCUGGCAUUUUCAAGUCUUGAGGUUGCUGUUUUCCAGGGGGUGAUGUGAUAUGACCCUAGCCAACAUGUAGAGCUGGUUUUGUGGACUGUGCCUGUGUGCUUGUGAGAAAGCAGAGCGACAGAGGGAGGCAGAGUUAGAGCUAGUUGCAGAAGGAAAGUGCAAUUUCUGAACAGGGGCAGACCUGCCUGACUUGGAUAUCAGCUUCUCCAUGAAAAUAUGCAGUGCCUAAAAUUUACACUGAUCGAUUUGUUCACGAGAAAGGACAUUUCUAAAAGAGCCAGGAGACUGCCCCCAGAACCAAGAGGAGUACUGGAGAGCAGAAGAUGAAGAAAAACCUUUAAACAGCAGAGCAGUGAAGUGGAGGGAGAGGCGGCCCCUCUCCUUUGCCAGAGACUCCCACUCCCAGAUGCAGGCUGGAGCGAUCCCUCAUAAUUUAAGCUGACACCCCUCAGCGGAGAUGAAAGGAACACCACUCGCUGCUCUCCAACAACAAAUGUCAGCAUCCCUGGAGGCCGUUUAGACACAAACGCAGCAUAAAUCUGACUCCUAGUGGGGAAGUCCAGAGAUUAAGUCUCCACACACAGCCUACCAGAGUGAAAUGAAUUUGCUUGGCACAAAGUUUGAA